Non-coding RNA from Schizosaccharomyces pombe (fission yeast), 1055 nucleotides. Lineage: Eukaryota; Fungi; Ascomycota; Schizosaccharomycetes; Schizosaccharomycetales; Schizosaccharomycetaceae. The record is from the annotation of a GenBank genome assembly.
UUAUUCACUGAUCCCAUCAGGAAGUGUUCCUCGAGUCCUCUUAAAUAGCUUCAAUAGUCAAUAAGUACAUGAAUUACCGGAUUUACUAAUCGAGCUUUUCCUCUAUCGGGGACUAGGCAACUCGUAUUUCGGCGGGGCUAUAGUCGUAAAGCUACCAAGCUAAAUGACUCUGAAAUUUAUUUCUUCUUUAAGACUUGUAGAUUUUUAGUAGUCCUCAAUCUCCAAAAUUGAUUAAUAUCUUGUUUAAAAUCAAGCCUACGUUAUACUGGUGGUUGGAAAAGGUUAGGUACAUCUAUACCGUAGCACGACACCUGGUGAGGGAUGACGAUGAGCACUUUUGGAAUGAUCAUUUUUGCGAAGUACCUUUCACUAUUCCGUAUUACACUACUAUACGUAAUCCUCCUUUUCCAGAUAGUAGACGGGAUGGUUGCUAUUUCAUCAUAGGUGGGACUAACGAGAAGUACGCCUGAGAAGAAGGCUUCAUAAUAGAAUACUAUUUUCUUACAGAGGUUUUUUGGUACGUAAAAUGUGUGGAACAUCAGAAAUAUUCUAUAACAAAUUUCGAUUAUUCAAAAUAUUACUUUAAAACAACUACCACUUUUUCUCACAAGUAUGGAAACGUUGAUAGUAAAACCCAUAAAUCCAAAGAUUUUUUUUUUUACAUAAUAAUAAUCCUUUACUUCAUCUACAAGCAUAGACGAUGUGCCGAUAAACGGCAUUAGCAAAAAAAAUUUUUUGCAACAUGACCAAACUGCCGGUAUAAUAUAUCAUAAUUGCAUACACAGUGUGUAAGUAUGAAUACUUAGAUGAGAGAAAAAUCAAUGGCAAGAUUAAAAGAGAAUGGCAAAAGCUAUAUUUGGUCACCAAUUUAGAUUGUGUACCGCAGGUGUCUGUGUAAUAAACAUGAAAAAAAUCUGCAUACAAACAAACAUCAAUUGCUAGUUGAAGAGAAGGUCUUAUACUCUUUGCAACACUUCUUUAGUUUUUCUUGUGUAUUAAAUUUUUUACUUUUUUUAAAAAUAUUCAUUUAUAAUCUUACACACUAUAUUGACAAG